AUAAGCACCGGCUAACUACGUGCCAGCAGCCGCGGUAAUACGUAGGGKGCGAGCGUUAAUCGGAAUUACUGGGCGUAAAGCGUGCGCAGGCGGUUUUGUAAGACAGAUGUGAAAUCCCCGGGCUCAACCUGGGACCUGCAUUUGUGACUGCAARGCUAGAGUGCGGCAGAGGGGGAUGGAAUUCCGCGUGUAGCAGUGAAAUGCGUAGAUAUGCGGAGGAACACCGAUGGCGAAGGCAAUCCCCUGGGCCUGCACUGACGCUCAUGCACGAAAGCGUGGGGAGCAAACAGGAUUAGAUACCCUGGUAGUCCACGCCCUAAACGAUGUCAACUGGUUG
RNAcentral lists this ribosomal RNA (337 nucleotides) under uncultured Nitrosomonas sp. RNAcentral describes it as "bacterial SSU rRNA". It matches the Rfam family "Bacterial small subunit ribosomal RNA", at positions 486 to 822 of the family's 1533-position model. The record is from RNAcentral. Lineage: Bacteria; Pseudomonadati; Pseudomonadota; Betaproteobacteria; Nitrosomonadales; Nitrosomonadaceae.